CGAUGAGAUAGCACAGCUAGUCGACUUGUAGCUAGCCAACGCAGUGGUUGUGAAAACCGAAACGGAUAUAUGUUUAAAUCCUACUAUAAGUUUGCUGACACUUUCAGCGUUAAGCUUAAAGUACAGUUUAAAAAGACGUUCUAAAAGUUGACUCAUAUAAGAAACUACUUCAAAUGUAUAUGACAGUCUUAGUCAUCUGCAUCAGCUGGUUGAAGAGGACUGUGAUGUAAAGAGACUAUAAAGCCUGUGACGGGACUUUUGUCAACAAACCACAAGAAGUGAUACUUUUUCCCAAAGGCACUUUUUUGUAUGUUCCGAUGUUGAGAUUUCAUAAUUCACGACAGACCGCUUAACAUAUGAUUACUUUAUCAGAACAUGUGAUUAAACACGUAACUCUGGGUGAAUAUCAACGACCUCAACGAACAUGUCUUUAUCCGCAGGAUGGUCAAGUGCUUCGUUUUCCUGUCACGUGCAAGAUGGAUAUGAUUUAGUAACUUUGAUUGCAUAAAGACGCAGUUCGCCAUCUACAGAUACUCUUUCUUAUAACGUUCAGGCUACGGAUAUAAAUCGAAACAGACGCAGAAGGAUUUUGCAUUUGCUGUACAUCUGAAAACUUGUAUGUUUCAUCCCAGUUUUCACAAAUAUGAUUCCAGUUAUCCGCAGAGAAACACGAUCUGACAACAAAAGCAAAGUCACAUUGCGAUAUCUGCCGUGUCCACCGAGGAUAAUCGAUCCCCGGCUUUAAGUGUUUUAAGUCCGUAAACUGUCAACUGUCCCACCAGGGAAUUGGAGCUUAAGACUAUUUUUCAUCAAGUACAUCAAUGACCGAAAGCUGCUGGCUCUACUAUAGGCCUACCAUCAUGAGUAACUGAAGUGCUAACGAGCCCUGAUGAUAAGCUAAGAGUUAUAGGUUAAUUCUAAAUCAACGCAGCGGUUUCUCUCUUACCGAGUAAAUUAAUUUGGUCUCCGGGAGUUCAGGCCACUUGGGGAUCUGAAAGUAGGAAGCAAGCGGAAUGGUGACUCAGUACCGGCGAACGGUGGGGGCAACCUCGAAACACUAUAUGUGGACACCGAAAGCAAAGGGACAGAGAGCAAGCACGUGUCAUUUCAGUUACACACGGUACACGAUGAUGAUGAGAGGGUGAAGUGGAGUUCUAGAACAGAAUGUUCCAAAACAAGACAGUGGUUUAGUGGUCGACAAAUGAGGGCCUCAGUAGGUUUAUUAAUACAUCAUCUAUGAACUACACCUUCUACAAACAGUGUGUAAGGUACCAUUAUAUAUACAUAUAGUUUUUCUAUUUAUUUUAAGAUCGAAAUUUGAGCGCGUAGUCAACCAAUAUGUAGACCUAAACAUAAAUAGUUUGUAUUCGGUUAAAUAAAUCACUAUUUAUCAAAUGAUAUCGAGCAGCACGCCUGAAAUACAAACAUAGCCUUGGAAAAUUCUCUACAACAUAUACCUAAAUCUGCAAAUAACCGAAUAGCAUGUGGAUAUCAAUCGUGACAAAAAUUAUAUAAACCCUUAAAGCCAUAAAGAACAGAAGCAAAAUAUAAUUUUAGUAAUAAACACUGCAUGGGUUCAAUAGAGAAAAUAUUUUACUAUUUAUAAUGUAGAAUACAAAUUAACGUGCUGAGUGUAAAAAGUAAUUUUAAUUUUAGAUAACUGUAUUAAUGUCGUGAUCGUACAGAACUUAACACUA
RNAcentral lists this long non-coding RNA (1697 nucleotides) under Limulus polyphemus (Atlantic horseshoe crab). RNAcentral describes it as "uncharacterized LOC111085178, transcript variant X3". The record is from RNAcentral. Lineage: Eukaryota; Metazoa; Arthropoda; Merostomata; Xiphosura; Limulidae.